GAUGAACGCGGCGGCGUGCUUAACACAUGCAAGUCGAACGAAGCUGCCCAAAGGAAGUUUUCGGAUGGAAUUUAGGUAGACUUAGUGGCGGACGGGUGAGUAACGCGUGGAUAACCUGCCUUAUACAGGGGGAUAACGGAGAGAAAUUUCCGCUAACACCGCAUAAGACCACAGCACCGCAUGGUGCAGGGGUAAAAUAUUUAUAGGUAUAAGAUGGAUCCGCGUCCGAUUAGCUAGUUGGUGAGGUAAAGGCCCACCAAGGCGACGAUCGGUAGCCGGCCUGAGAGGGUGAACGGCCACAUUGGGACUGAGACACGGCCCAAACUCCUACGGGAGGCAGCAGUGGGGAAUAUUGGACAAUGGGGGAAACCCUGAUCCAGCGACGCCGCGUGAGUGAAGAAGUAUUUCGGUAUGUAAAGCUCUAUCAGCAGGGAAGAAAAUGACGUACCUGACUAA
RNAcentral lists this ribosomal RNA (456 nucleotides) under Lachnospiraceae bacterium oral taxon 107. RNAcentral's name for it is "bacterial SSU rRNA". It matches the Rfam family "Bacterial small subunit ribosomal RNA", at positions 28 to 476 of the family's 1533-position model. Lineage: Bacteria; Bacillati; Bacillota; Clostridia; Lachnospirales; Lachnospiraceae. The record is from RNAcentral.